GACGAACCGUCCAAACGUUAUUCGGAAUCACUGGGCGUAAAGGGCGCGUAGGCGGCCAAGUAAGUUGGGGGUGAAAGCCCGUGGCUCAACCACGGAAUUGCCUUCGAUACUGCUUGGCUUGAGACCGGAAGAGGUGAGUGGAACUGCGAGUGUAGAGGUGAAAUUCGUAGAUAUUCGCAAGAACACCAGUGGCGAAGGCGGCUCACUGGUCCGGAUCUGACGCUGAGGCGCGAAAGCGUGGGGAGCAAACAGG
This 253-nucleotide ribosomal RNA is filed under the name uncultured bacterium. RNAcentral's name for it is "partial 16S ribosomal RNA". It matches the Rfam family "Bacterial small subunit ribosomal RNA", at positions 524 to 776 of the family's 1533-position model. The record is from RNAcentral.